GCCCUGCCCUGCGAGCGGUGGGAGGCUGGGAGAGUGCUCCUGAGAGAUGGUGGUCCCUCACCGGCCUCAAGGUGAGCAGCUCUGGGUGCAGGCCCCAGCUCUGGUCUUGUCUCUUAAAGAGCAGGCAUGGUUCAGGCACCAAGGCUCAGGUAAAAUCUGAAGCUCCGUGUUCAACAGAGGGACGUUGCAGAAUGAAUGCAGGUGGAAGCCUGCUUCCAGAACUGAAGAGCUUUCAGCACUGGGGCUGCUCCAGAUAUAUGAAAUUACUGCAUUGCUGCCGAGAGAUUCUGAUUCUCAUGGAUCUGCUGAGGAAGCACUUGAACGUGAGGGGCUGUUCCCAAAGCCUGAGACCUUCCCUUGACCACUGAACUGGAAAUCUUCAUAGACAGGACAAUAUCUGGAAGAGAGAAAGAGUUACAGUCAGUGCAUUACCAGUGGGAAGCUGAAGCUUACCCAUUAUGGCAAAUUUUGCAAAGUUCUGGAGGCACACAGUUCUCCUUGACCUUCUCAUGACUCACCAAGAUCACCUAGGAAGUCCGUGACAGUGCUUUGGAGUGACUCCAGCUCGAAAUCCCAGUACAGUGGUGCAUCUCUGCAGCCUCACUCCUUCUGGUGCCCGGUUCUUUUCUUCCAUCUUGGAAGUGAGCUGUGCUGAGGUUCCUCCCAAGGACAGAACUCCUGCCAUCCCCUUUGUGGAGGAGACCAGCUGUCCUCGCCAGUCGUACUGACCCAAAGAGAAACAGAGAGGGCACAAGGAUGCUGAACUGGUGGCUUUGGAGGGAGCAGAGGAGAGCCACUGUAUAAGCACUGCCAUCUGUGCAGAGAGCUUCCCACAGCCAGUGAGAGCAAACAGUACAGAGUUCACCACCUCAGUGGGCUGUUCAAGGCAGUGGUCUCUGCAGCUUCAUUCCAGUUGCCACAGUUCUCUGCUGGCCCACAUUGCCACGCAGACUGAGGACUGCUGCUUGCAUCUGGGAAAGAUACUUGCUUGGAUGUCUUGUCACUGCUGAUGACAGUGCUGCAGGUUCAAGGUUACUCAGCGUUACACAAGUACUCUGGGAAACCCAUGUGCCCACACUGCAGUAUUUGAGUUAGCUUUUUAAAUUCAAAGAAAGGAUGAAGCCAGAAGAUAAUGUGGAUUUGCUGUAAACCAUCUGCAUUGCUGAAUACAUGUGAGGAGCAGCAGGAGUGGAGAAAGUGCCACUCUUCAGUGGCAGCUGCUGGACAUGCUCUAUAGCAGUUCCUGAAACCGUGCAAGGGGUUUCCAUUGAGAGCUGAGCCAUCUGAAGCACAGGAGAAACAGGUCCUAAAUAAGUGGGAGACAAUACUAUACAGGCUUUCUGCUAACUCUGGGACUCGAGCUGCUGCUGGAUUGGUUUGCUAAAGAAAAGACAUUUGAGGAGGAAGCAGAGGGCUGUGGCUGGCUCUUGCUUCUGAGAAGCUCAAGAAACUUGCAUGUCUGAAGCCCCACUGCAGAGACAGUGUGACGCAGAUUAGGUUCGCCCCGAUGCAUGCCAUUGGAGCCACAGUGUACUCAGGCAGAGCAGCAUAUAUGCUGUCCAACACAGCAAUCCCACAGAGACCAAGAUAACGUCUCAGCAAAACUGGCAACGACCAGCAUGAGAUUUCUCAGCAGCUUGUCUGCUGAGAGCGACUCUUCCCUAGUGCCUAGCACUGAGGCUGAAGACUUUCUCACUUUUUGCAGCCCAGCGUGUGGAGUCAGAAAUGAGAGGCCACGAGGGUACUCCACAGCAUAGCUUGGCUGUUAUGAAUGUCCCCACUCUCAAAAUGGCCUUCCUCUCAGGAGACCUUUUCCCCUUUCUACCCCCAUUACAUGACACCAAACUAGGACAUCUCCCACACAGAGAGAAAGGAAACUUGGGAGAUCUGGGAGGUAUGUGGUUCUGCAUGACCUAAGUUGUAUCUUGCACAGCAAAAUUUGUAACUGUGACCGAGUGGAGGAGAAACAUCCUCAGAGGUUGGUGUUAACAUGGUGGGAAGGGUUUAGCACUAGACAGCCUGGCUGCAGCCUCCAAGUGCAACUGGCUUCCUCCUUCCUUCCUGGGAGUGCUCUCAGCUCCCCCAGACAUGCACUCCAACUCCCAGGCCAGGAACUGGUGUGACUGGAGCCUGAGCAGAAAUGCGGAAGGAGGACGAAGCUCCCUGCCUGAGCCUGCUGGCAUCCUCCUACACAAGUGACAGCUCAUAUUUCUCGCAGGGACAUGUCAGCUGCUGCAGAAGAGGAAGAAAUGAGUGAUCUUGGCGGAGAAACUCAGAUUUUUUCCUGCCUCACAAAAUGAGAGACUGCUGUUGGGAGCAAAAAGGAGGAGAAGACCGCAUUUAUGCCACAAAUUAACAUCAGGGAAGGACACAGACCUUGAUGUUAUUUUGGGUGCACAGAGUGUGGAGCAAUAAGGAUUUUUUUAAUGCAGUUCUGUUUCUGAGCAGAGUGUGGGGGGUGGGGAGCAUUGCUAAAAAUCAUAGGUUAACCUACUUCUGUUCAAGUAAACCACAGCAUGCAAUUGACCUCACCUCAGCAGCUUUGCAUCAAGAGGCAUAAGCAGAUAGGGAUUAACCCCUGGAUCACUGGGCAGAUCCAAACUGCUGCAUAGAGCAGGUUGGCUCUUCAUUAAAAAUCAAAAGUGGAAGGGACGGAAAAGAAGUAAGCAUAAAGAUUUUUUUAAGGACAGAAGCAGUUCACGGCCAUUUAAACCACUGGUCCCUUGCUGCUCUGGGGCAGUUCCUGAAACAGGCUACCUCCCGUACUCAGCCUGCAGUGAGUGCCUCUGCUGAUCAGUGGACAACAUUCAGCCUGUGCUUUUCUUGGCCAGCUGAACACCUGAUAUCAAAUGGGCUGGUUCGUUUUCAGUUUGAAAAACUACAGCAUUUUGAAGGAGACUAACCCAUCCUCACAGCCUUGUGCUAGUCCCCUUCUCAGCUUGUUGAUUUGGGCUAGUAAGUCACUUGGUAGUACAAUGAAUGUAAAAAGCAACAAAGCACAACAGUUUUUUGUUUAAAUGUCAGGCACCAGGGAUAAGCUCAAGGAAACAGGCAACUUCUACUUAAGAAGAAACCUUAUUAGGCAAGGAUAAUGCCCUCUGCUUAUUGCCCCACUUCACCCCAGAGUUGGCUGGGAUUGACCCUGCCUGAGAGAGAUGACCUUACCUUGGUCCCGAGAGGGGUGGUGGGCACAUCUUUAGUGGAGACACAAAGUAGCACGAUGCCCGUCAGUCCUGCCACGAUCACCAGCCAGGGGGGAAGGAGUUCGCGCCAAGACAUGAAGCACUUUCUCCUUUUUCUGAAAAGUCAAAGAGGAAGCAGUGGAGCAGCAAAUGCAAAGUCUGCAACUGACAGUGGUUGCUUCUUACAGUCUUUAAAAAGAGGAGGAAGGCGGGGCCAGGGCCAGGCUCUGGCAUCAACCCAGCCCCAAGCCACACGACCAUGAAAAGCGCGUGGGCCAAGCUGUGAUGUGUCAGGCAAUUCUCCCUUCCACUGUCCACACAAUAAAUAAAACUGAGGCUUGGUGCUGAUUCCAGGGUUAGUUUUGCAAAAACAUCAGUAGAGCCUCGAAACUGCUCCAGGCAAUAGUGUUGAGGUAAACAGAAAUGUGAGGUUAACUCAUCUGUUUAAUAAGCAGAAAGCAGACAAACUCAUCUGUUUGGUAUUCUGAGCUUGGCAGAGUGAGGAAGAAUGCCAAAAUUAGAAGUGGGAAACUCCUUCUAGGUAGAAUUACUUUUCAUCUGAGGGCCAUGCUCAGCUCCAUUGUGGACCUGGGGCACUUCUCUGCAAGCAAACACUCCUCUAGGCUGGGAGAGAGAGUUGGCACUCUGCUGAUUUCCUUCAUAUUACUCUUACCAUCUCAUUUACAUUCAGGUGGCAACUGGGACAGGAAAACAGUUGCAUUUCUGGGCUUCCACACACAAGAGACCUUGGCUGGCUUGGUCCUUGCCAUGGGUCCUGUUAGUGUGGCAGGGCUUUCCCUGGAAGGCAGCGGGGGCUGCUCAGGUGUUUUUGGCUGCAGGAUGACCAAUAUCAGCCUAGGUGCCUAUAUGCCUCUUCUCUGUCAAUCUCUUUCUGGAAGAUAAUGCCCAGACUUUACAAAAGAGGCACCCACUUCCUCCUUUCACAUGCCAAAAGCAAAAGUCCCCAAAACCAGAAUUUCGGAAGAAAAAUCUGCUAGGAAGGAGAGGUAUUUGUUGCAUGCUGUCUCCGUUUCCCAGUGAUUGAGUCUAGUAAUAAAAGUGCAACUCCUGUAAAGAAACAUUUUAA
Long non-coding RNA from Dromaius novaehollandiae (emu), 4269 nucleotides. RefSeq lists it as uncharacterized. The record is from RefSeq and is a predicted model, not a curated record. NCBI's taxonomy places the organism in Eukaryota, Metazoa, Chordata, Aves, Casuariiformes, Dromaiidae. The transcript has 8 exons.